This 1301-nucleotide ribosomal RNA is filed under the name Candidatus Hodgkinia cicadicola. RNAcentral describes it as "bacterial SSU rRNA". It matches the Rfam family "Bacterial small subunit ribosomal RNA", at positions 8 to 1267 of the family's 1533-position model. The record is from RNAcentral. Lineage: Bacteria; Pseudomonadati; Pseudomonadota; Alphaproteobacteria; Hyphomicrobiales.
AGAGUUUGAUCCUGGCUCAGAACAAUGCUAGCGAUUGGCCUAACACAUGCAAGUCGAGCGAACAACCACAACAGGUUGUUAGCGGCGAACGGGUGAGUAACACGUGAGAAUCUGCCUUGUUCAACGGAAUAGCUUAAGGAAACUUGAGGUAAUACCGUAUGACUCCUGCAACAGGUAAAGAACAUUCGGAACAAGAUGAGCUUGCGGUAGAUUAGCUAGUUGGUGGGGUAAAGGCCUACCAAGGCAAUGAUCUAUAGCUGAUCUGGGAGGAUGGACAGCCACAUUGGGAUUGAGACAAGGCCCAAACUUCUAUGGAAGGCAGCAGUGGGGAAUAUUGGACAAUGGGCGAAAGCCUGAUCCAGCCAUAUCGCAUGAGUGAUUGAAGGUCUAUAAAAGGGGUACAGAACAUGUACUUUGGACUGUAAAACUCUGUUUGUUUAGUGAUAAUAAUGAUAGUAACUGAAUAAAAGCUCCGGCCAACUUCGUGCCAGCAGCCGCGGUAAUACGAGGGGAGCGAGUGUUGUUCGGUUUUAUUGGGCGUAAAGGGUAUGUAGGCGGUUUUGUAAGUCAACGAUUAAAUCUUGAAGCUUAACUUCAUUAGCGGUUGUUGAUACUGCAUAACUAUGAACUUAAUAGGGGUGAACACAAUUCCAAGUGUAGAGGUGAAAUUCGUUGAUAUUUGGAGGAGUACCAAAGGCGAAGGCAGUUCAUUGGGUUAAGUUGACGCUGAGGUACGAAAGCGUGGGGAGCAAACAGGAUUAGAUACCCUGGUAGUCCACGCCCUAAACGAUGAGUGCUAACAGUCAGGUAUAAAAUAACAACCUGAAAGAUAUGUUUUCGGAUAUACCGAAUGGUUGCAUGUUUAUAUUUGAUUGUGUAGCUAACGCGUUAAGCACUCCGCCUGGGGACUACGGUCGCAAGGCUAAAACUCAAAGGAAUUGACGGAGACCCGCACAAGCGGUGGAGCAUGUGGUUUAAUUCGAAGCUACACGAAGAACCUUACCAGCUCUUGACAUUUUUGGCUAAACAUGUUGGAAACAACAUGCCACUUACAACAGUAAGGAUGCCUUGAACAGGUGCUGCAUGGCUGUUGUCAGUUCGUGUCGUGAGAUGUAUGGUUAAGUCCUAAAACGAACGUAACCCUUGUCCAUAGUUGCCGAAACAAAUAGGCUCUCUAUGGAGACUGCUAAUAAAAGUUAGAGGAAGGUGAGGAUCACAACAAGUCAUCAUGGCCCUUAUGGGCUGGGCUACACACGUGCUACAAUGGCAACUACAAAGAGUCGCAAUAUCGUGAGGUGGAG